Molecule: ribosomal RNA, 253 nt
Filed under: uncultured bacterium
Lineage: Bacteria
Description: partial 16S ribosomal RNA
Rfam family: Bacterial small subunit ribosomal RNA
Source: RNAcentral
GACAGAGGGUGCAACCGUUGUUCGGAAUUACUGGGCGUAAAGCGCGUGUAGGCGGCUGCGUGUGUCGGGCGUGAAAUCCCAUGGCUCAACCAUGGAAGUGCACCCGAAACUGCGUAGCUAGAGUCCUGGAGAGGAAGGUGGAAUGCUUGGUGUAGAGGUGAAAUUCGUAGAUAUCAAGCGGAACACCGGUGGCGAAGGCGGCCUUCUGGACAGUGACUGACGCUGAGACGCGAAAGCGUGGGGAGCAAACAGG